Oncorhynchus tshawytscha (Chinook salmon) is the source of this 1240-nucleotide long non-coding RNA. The record is from Ensembl. NCBI's taxonomy places the organism in Eukaryota, Metazoa, Chordata, Actinopteri, Salmoniformes, Salmonidae.
AUCUCCAGUUGCGGGCAUUUUCUCCUGGGAUUCAGGACAGAAAGCACACUUCCACGAACUAUAUAUCAUUGAAGAGAUAUGUGAAAAACACCUUGAGGAUUGGUUCUAAACAACGUUUGCCAUGUUUCAGUCGAUAUUAUGGAGUUAAUUUGGAAAAAAGUUCGGCGUUUUUAUGACUGGUUUUUCGUGUUUUUUUGGUAGCCAAACGUGACGCACCAAACAGAGCGAUUUCUCCUAAACAAAUAACCUUUCAGGAAAAACUGAACAUUUGCUAUCUAACAGAGUCUCCUCAUUGAAAACAUCUGAAGUUCUUCAAAGGCUGCCAAUAAUUAUGGACCUAGCUGUAUAGGGAGGAGGUCAGAGACCUGGCAGUGUGGUGCCAGGAUAACAACCUCUCCCUCAACGUGAUCAAGACAAAGGAGAAUAUCGUGGACGACAGGAAAAAAAGAGGGCCGAGGACAUUGAGAGCUUCAAGUUCCUUGGUGUCCACAUCACCAACGAACUAUCAUGGUCCAAACACACCAAGACAGUCAUGAAGAGAGCAUGAGGAGACUGAAAAGAUUUGGGAAGUGUCCUCAGAUCCUCAAAAAGUUCCACAGCUGCCCCAUCGGGAACAUCUUGACUGGUUACAUCACUGCCUGGUAUUGCAACUGCUCAGCCUCCGACCACAAGGCACUACAGCGGGUAGUGGAUAUGGCCUAGUACAUCACUGGGGACAAGUUUCCUGCCAUCCAGGACAUCUAUACCAGGCGGUGUCAGAGGAAGGCCUUAAAAAUUGCCAAAGACUCCAGCCACCCUAGUCAUAGACUGUUCUCUCUGCUACCGCACAGUACCGGAGCGCCAAGUCUAGGUCCAAAAGGCUUCUUAACAGCUUCUACCCCCAAGCCAUAAGACUCCUGAACAGCUAAUCAAAUCAAAUGGCUACCCAGACUAUUUGCAUUGAACCCCCCCCCCCCAAAAAAAAAAUAUAUAUAUUUUUACGUUGCUGCUACUCUGUUUAUUAUCUAUGCAUAUUUUUUUUUUUUUUCAUUUUUCUACUUCAAUUUAUUCUUAAGACUUAUUUUUCUUGGUAAUUGUUGGUUAAGGGCUUGUGACAAAUACAAUUUGAUUUUGAUGCAUUUUGAAUACAUACAGUACCAGUCAAACAUUUGGACACACCUACUCAUUCAAGGGUUUUCCUUUAUUUUUCUAUUUUAUAUAUUGUAGAAUAAUAGUGAAGACAUCACAACUAUGAAAGAAC